Pan troglodytes (chimpanzee) is the source of this 3595-nucleotide RNA transcript. It is a transcript of the gene named zinc finger B-box domain containing, with no coding region annotated. The record is from RefSeq and is a predicted model, not a curated record. The transcript has 24 exons. Lineage: Eukaryota; Metazoa; Chordata; Mammalia; Primates; Hominidae.
GGGGUCUCCAGGUGGGUUGUCUGGCUGCGGGUGGAUGAGAGGGGAGGAGGGUCUCUGAGUCCGCCUAGCGGGCAGCAAGCCCGGGCUAGUUGGUGCGGGGAGCAGAGCGGGCAGCGCGGCUGGGAAGCAGACUCAGCUCGGGUGGAGCUGGAGGCACCGGCCCAGCAAGUGUUUGCUGAGCUCCUGCCAUAGGCUGACAUAGUGCCAGGCCUGCAGGCAGCAGGACGGGGCCCUGGCCUCAGGAGUUGAAAGCCUUUGGUAUACACCAAAGACUUCCCAGCCCAAAAUGCUAAUGGAUAAAUGAAUCAAGAGUGAACCCCAGACAGUGAAAUUGGGGACUGCAUCAGUUGUACCCCUUCUGCAGCCCGACCCUUUCAAAUACUAGCCCCUUUUAUCCUUUUAAGUCAUUUGCACCUUAUGAAAAAUUUGGCACCCUGAGAAACCAUAUUUCAUCCCCUUUUGUAGCCUUUAGUCUGCCUGCGCGUUCACAUGCACCCACUUACUUCUUGAAGUCUACUCCUCACAAGUAAGGGCUAUGGUGCGGGGUGCCCGAUUCCUGAGAAAUCUGAAGAUGUGGAAGUUUAUUUUUUCUUCCCAAAAUCAGCAGUAGAGGGACUCAGGACCAACUCCUCUUCAUCUUCGUCUUCCUCAGCCUGCUCAAUGUGAAGCCCCUGAUCAUGAUUCACUUCCACUUAAUAAAUAAAGUGUUUACAAAUCAGAAUAACUUUUAGACAAUAUUAAGGUGGUAAUCAUGAACAGAAAAGAUUUUGUUGUUCUUCCAUGGGGAAAACCUGGAAAUUCUGUAAAGCUAAAAUAUAGAAAUGCUCAAGAACUGCGAAUGGAGAAAGUACAGUUAGAGUUUGAGAACCAAGAGAUGGAGAAGAAACUGCAAGAAUUCCGAUCCACAAGAAACAAAGAAAAGGAAGAUAGAGAGUCAAGCGAGUAUUACUGGAAAUCUGGAAAAGUGGGCAAAUUGGUCAAUCAAUCAUAUAUGAUGUCACAAAAUAAAGGAAAUGUUAAGUUUUCUGCUGGAAAAGUGAAAUUAAAAUUGCUGAAGGAACAGAUUCAAGAGCCAGUGAAACCAACAGUUAAUUAUAAAAUGGCAAAUUCUUCAGAAUGUGAAAAACCCAAGAUAAAUGGGAAAGUUUGUGGACAGUGUGAGAACAAAGCUGCUCUACUGGUAUGCCUUGAAUGUGGAGAAGAUUAUUGUUCAGGAUGCUUUGCUAAAAUUCACCAGAAAGGGGCACUAAAGCUCCACAGAACAACUCUUUUGCAGGCAAAAUCUCAAAUAUUAUUCAAUGUAUUGGAUGUUGCCCAUCAGUUUAUAAAGGAUGUUAAUCCAGAUGAACCCAAAGAGGAGAAUAAUUCUACAAAGGAAACCAGUAAAAUUCAACAUAAACCCAAAUCUGUACUUCUCCAGAAGAGCAGCUCUGAGGUAGAAAUUACAAUGAUGAAAAGAGCACAAUGUACAAAACCAAGAGAGAGUCUGUUGUGUGAAGGGUCAUUCGAUGAAGAAGCUUCUGCACAGUCCUUUCAGGAAGUGUUAAGUCAAUGGAGAACCGGAAAUCAUGAUGACAACAAGAAACAGAAUUUACAUGCAGCAGUAAAAGACUCAUUGGAAGAAUGCGAAGUACAGACUAAUCUGAAAAUUUGGAGAGAACCACUUAAUAUUGAACUUAAAGAAGACAUUCUAUCCUAUAUGGAAAAAUUAUGGCUUAAAAAACACAGGAGAACUCCACAAGAGCAACUUUUUAAAAUGCUACCAGAUACGUUCCCACAUCCACGUGAAACCACUGGUGAUGCACAGUGUUCUCAAAAUGAAAACGAUGAAGAUAGUGAUGGUGAGGAGACCAAAGUACAACACACAGCUCUUUUAUUGCCAGUAGAAACAUUAAACAGAGAGAGACCUGAACCAUCUCUAAAGAUAGUCGAACUGGAUGAUAUUUAUGAAGAGGAAUUUGAAGAAGCAGAAAAUAUUGUGCCUUACAAAGUUGAAUUAGCUGAUGCAGACAGUCAACAAAGUUGUGCUUUUCAUGAUUAUCAGAAGAAUAGCUUUCCAUAUGAAAAUGGCAUCCAUCAACAUCAUGUUUUCAAUAAGGGAAAGAGAGACUUCUUAAAUCUUUGUCUGAGAAACAGCUCUACUUAUUAUAAAGAUAAUUCAAAAGCAGAAACGUCAAACACAGAUUUUGACAACAUCGUGGAUCCUGAUGCGUAUUCUUCUGACAUUGAAAAAAUUGAGGAAAGCGCUUCCUUUGAAAGAAAUUUAAAGGAGAAAAAUAUAGGUUUAGAAAGUAAUGAAAAGUCUGAUGAUUCCUGUGUAUCACUUGAAAGCAAGGACACUUUGCUAGGUAUAGAUUUAGAAAAAGCUCCCAUUGAGGAGAAAUUAUCUCAAGACAUCAAAGAAUCCUUGGAAUUCAGCAAUCUGCAUAAGAGGCCAAGCUUUGAAGACUCAAAAACUACAAAGUCAUCACUGUUGUUACAAGAAAUAGCCUGCAGAAGUAAGCCUAUAACAAAACAAUAUCAAGGACUUGAGAGAUUCUUUAUUUUUGAUACAAAUGAAAGACUCAACUUACUUCCUUCUCAUCGUUUAGAAUGCAACAAUUCCAGUACUAGGAUUACACUUGCAGAAGACAGAGAAUGGAUUCCAGACCAUAGCUUAAGUGAAUAUGCUGAUAAUGCAAUUGUAUUGGGUGUUCUGCAGGGUGCUCAGAGUCCAUCAUCAAGUAGAAAACAGCAAAAGAUGGGUCAGAAAUCACAGAGACCUUCAACAGCAAAUUUUCCACUUUCCAACUCUGUUAAAGAAAGCUCCAGUUGCCUUUCAUCCUCUCAUCCUCGAUCAAGAAGUGCAGCUGCUCAAUCAUCAUCUAGAGCUGCUUCUGAAAUUUCAGAAAUUGAAUAUAUUGAUAUUACUGACCAGAAUGAGCUUUCCUUAGAUGACACUACUGAUCAACAUACCUUAGACAAUUUGGAAAAAGAAUUACAAGUGCUGAGAUCUCUUGCAGCCAUCACAAUGAGUUCCAGGCAUCAAGAAGGAAGAAGUGGGAAGAGUAAAAUGGACGUCUCCUAGCUGAGGGACUCUGUGAAUGCUGGAAAAAUAGUGAAAAUCAUGGAGCAACAAAAGAAUUAUAUUUUUUCUUAUGUGAAGUAUAUAUGGGCAUUUGAGAACUCACAAGAGAUGGUUCAUGUCAUUACUGGGGCUGAAGAAAUAAGAAAAAAGAAUGGUUAUUGGAAUCUGAAAACUGGGAGUGCCGAGUGGAUAGAGCUGUGUAACAGGACCUGUGGCCUUAGGCGAGUGACUUAGCCGUGCCAUGCCAACUCUGUUGGGAGAGUCAAGGGCUCUGAGGAUACAUCCUCUGUGCUGUAUUGGCUUUCUGGUUCAUUUGGUUCUCUGAGCAGCCCUGAGAAAUAUGUUGUUAUAACACUUUAAAGGAGAGUGGAAGGGAAACCAAAGCUACAGGGAACUGACAGAUCCUGGAUGACCUAUGUCAAAAGAUUUGGUGGAUCCCCCCUUUCCCUCAGAAUCCCCACUUUCAGUUACUGUAAAUGGCAAAGCCACAGGUCGUGAUAAGAUGAAUAAAGAUGGAAACGGACAGUU